GGGAAAAUAGUAUAAAUAAUAUUACAAUUAAUUUAUGAUUAAUAGAUUUGGAUGCAAACCCCAAUUUUCUCC
This 72-nucleotide transfer RNA is filed under the name Purpureocillium takamizusanense. RNAcentral's name for it is "tRNA-Ile". It matches the Rfam family "tRNA". From Rfam's summary of the family: Transfer RNA (tRNA) molecules are approximately 80 nucleotides in length. Their secondary structure includes four short double-helical elements and three loops (D, anti-codon, and T loops). Lineage: Eukaryota; Fungi; Ascomycota; Sordariomycetes; Hypocreales; Ophiocordycipitaceae. The record is from RNAcentral.